This 60-nucleotide small RNA is filed under the name Escherichia coli str. K-12 substr. MG1655. RNAcentral describes it as "small RNA SokE". Lineage: Bacteria; Pseudomonadati; Pseudomonadota; Gammaproteobacteria; Enterobacterales; Enterobacteriaceae. The record is from RNAcentral.
GUUCGGGUUUGGAGUGGCAGCCCCAGGGUUGAUAGAAAUAUCUCCUGGGGCUUCAUCUUU